This 1647-nucleotide ribosomal RNA is filed under the name Salmonella enterica. RNAcentral describes it as "partial 23S ribosomal RNA". It matches the Rfam family "Bacterial large subunit ribosomal RNA", at positions 1173 to 2803 of the family's 2925-position model. The record is from RNAcentral. Lineage: Bacteria; Pseudomonadati; Pseudomonadota; Gammaproteobacteria; Enterobacterales; Enterobacteriaceae. RNAcentral also lists the same sequence under 1 other name.
UAACGGGGCUAAACCAUGCACCGAAGCUGCGGCAGCGACACUGUGUGUUGUUGGGUAGGGGAGCGUUCUGUAAGCCUGCGAAGGUGGCCUGUGAGGGUUGCUGGAGGUAUCAGAAGUGCGAAUGCUGACAUAAGUAACGAUAAAGCGGGUGAAAAGCCCGCUCGCCGGAAGACCAAGGGUUCCUGUCCAACGUUAAUCGGGGCAGGGUGAGUCGACCCCUAAGGCGAGGCCGAAAGGCGUAGUCGAUGGGAAACGGGUUAAUAUUCCCGUACUUGGUGUUACUGCGAAGGGGGGACGGAGAAGGCUAUGUUGGCCGGGCGACGGUUGUCCCGGUUUAAGCGUGUAGGUGUGUGUUCCAGGUAAAUCCGGUUCACUUUAACACUGAGGCGUGACGACGAGGCACUACGGUGCUGAAGCAACAAAUGCCCUGCUUCCAGGAAAAGCCUCUAAGCAUCAGGUAACAUCAAAUCGUACCCCAAACCGACACAGGUGGUCAGGUAGAGAAUACCAAGGCGCUUGAGAGAACUCGGGUGAAGGAACUAGGCAAAAUGGUGCCGUAACUUCGGGAGAAGGCACGCUGACACGUAGGUGAAGUGAUUUACUCAUGGAGCUGAAGUCAGUCGAAGAUACCAGCUGGCUGCAACUGUUUAUUAAAAACACAGCACUGUGCAAACACGAAAGUGGACGUAUACGGUGUGACGCCUGCCCGGUGCCGGAAGGUUAAUUGAUGGGGUCAGCGCAAGCGAAGCUCCUGAUCGAAGCCCCGGUAAACGGCGGCCGUAACUAUAACGGUCCUAAGGUAGCGAAAUUCCUUGUCGGGUAAGUUCCGACCUGCACGAAUGGCGUAAUGAUGGCCAGGCUGUCUCCACCCGAGACUCAGUGAAAUUGAACUCGCUGUGAAGAUGCAGUGUACCCGCGGCAAGACGGAAAGACCCCGUGAACCUUUACUAUAGCUUGACACUGAACAUUGAGCCUUGAUGUGUAGGAUAGGUGGGAGGCUUUGAAGUGUGGACGCCAGUCUGCAUGGAGCCGACCUUGAAAUACCACCCUUUAAUGUUUGAUGUUCUAACGUGGACCCGUUACCCGGGUUGCGGACAGUGUCUGGUGGGUAGUUUGACUGGGGCGGUCUCCUCCUAAAGAGUAACGGAGGAGCACGAAGGUUGGCUAAUCCUGGUCGGACAUCAGGAGGUUAGUGCAAUGGCAUAAGCCAGCUUGACUGCGAGCGUGACGGCGCGAGCAGGUGCGAAAGCAGGUCAUAGUGAUCCGGUGGUUCUGAAUGGAAGGGCCAUCGCUCAACGGAUAAAAGGUACUCCGGGGAUAACAGGCUGAUACCGCCCAAGAGUUCAUAUCGACGGCGGUGUUUGGCACCUCGAUGUCGGCUCAUCACAUCCUGGGGCUGAAGUAGGUCCCAAGGGUAUGGCUGUUCGCCAUUUAAAGUGGUACGCGAGCUGGGUUUAGAACGUCGUGAGACAGUUCGGUCCCUAUCUGCCGUGGGCGCUGGAGAACUGAGGGGGGCUGCUCCUAGUACGAGAGGACCGGAGUGGACGCAUCACUGGUGUUCGGGUUGUCAUGCCAAUGGCACUGCCCGGUAGCUAAAUGCGGAAGAGAUAAGUGCUGAAAGCAUCUAAGCACGAAACUUGCCCCGAG